UGGGGUAUAGCCAAGGGGUAAAGCAAUGGUUUUUGGUACCAUCAUGGGCUGGUUCGAAUACAGCUAACCCAA
This 72-nucleotide transfer RNA is filed under the name Lactobacillus crispatus. RNAcentral's name for it is "tRNA-Gln". It matches the Rfam family "tRNA". From Rfam's summary of the family: Transfer RNA (tRNA) molecules are approximately 80 nucleotides in length. Their secondary structure includes four short double-helical elements and three loops (D, anti-codon, and T loops). Further hydrogen bonds mediate the characteristic L-shaped molecular structure. tRNAs have two regions of fundamental functional importance: the anti-codon, which is responsible for specific mRNA codon recognition, and the 3' end, to which the tRNAs corresponding amino acid is attached (by aminoacyl-tRNA synthetases). tRNAs cope with the degeneracy of the genetic code in two manners: having more than one tRNA (with a specific anti-codon) for a particular amino acid; and 'wobble' base-pairing, i.e. permitting non-standard base-pairing at the 3rd anti-codon position. The record is from RNAcentral. Lineage: Bacteria; Bacillati; Bacillota; Bacilli; Lactobacillales; Lactobacillaceae.